UACGGGGGGGGCAAGCGUUGUUCGGAAUUACUGGGCGUAAAGGGCUCGUAGGCGGCCAACUAAGUCGGACGUGAAAUCCCCAGGCUCAACCUGGGAACUGCGUCCGAUACUGGAUGGCUUGAAUUCGGGAGAGGGAUGCAGAAUUCCAGGUGUAGCGGUGAAAUGCGUAGAUAUCUGGAGGAAUACCGGUGGCGAAGGCGGCAUCCUGGACCGACAUUGACGCUGAGGAGCGAAAGCGUGGGUAGCAAACAGG
This 253-nucleotide ribosomal RNA is filed under the name uncultured bacterium. RNAcentral's name for it is "partial 16S ribosomal RNA". It matches the Rfam family "Bacterial small subunit ribosomal RNA", at positions 524 to 776 of the family's 1533-position model. The record is from RNAcentral.